UGGGCCUCCCCAACCUCUUCGACAUCAGAAUCCCCACUGGUGAGUCAGCCUUGACCAAUCCAUCAUUAGCCAGAUGACUCGUCAAAGCUGCACUUCUCUCGACUAAUAGGGAGAACAGGAGAAAUCGGACGAUGUCCGAAAUGUUCUCCUCAUUUUACCCGACGAUGCUUGGGAUAAGUUUCCAACAUUCCUUUCUCUUUUUUUUUGAUCUGACUUGACUAGUCUUUU
This 228-nucleotide long non-coding RNA is filed under the name Elaeis guineensis (African oil palm). RNAcentral describes it as "long non-coding RNA (EGUI_LNC072687)". Lineage: Eukaryota; Viridiplantae; Streptophyta; Magnoliopsida; Arecales; Arecaceae. The record is from RNAcentral.